This 77-nucleotide transfer RNA is filed under the name Candidatus Edwardsbacteria bacterium GWE2_54_12. Its description in RNAcentral is "tRNA-His". It matches the Rfam family "tRNA". From Rfam's summary of the family: Transfer RNA (tRNA) molecules are approximately 80 nucleotides in length. Their secondary structure includes four short double-helical elements and three loops (D, anti-codon, and T loops). Further hydrogen bonds mediate the characteristic L-shaped molecular structure. tRNAs have two regions of fundamental functional importance: the anti-codon, which is responsible for specific mRNA codon recognition, and the 3' end, to which the tRNAs corresponding amino acid is attached (by aminoacyl-tRNA synthetases). tRNAs cope with the degeneracy of the genetic code in two manners: having more than one tRNA (with a specific anti-codon) for a particular amino acid; and 'wobble' base-pairing, i.e. permitting non-standard base-pairing at the 3rd anti-codon position. Lineage: Bacteria; Candidatus Edwardsiibacteriota. The record is from RNAcentral. RNAcentral also lists the same sequence under 7 other names.
GUGGAUGUAGUUCAGCUGGUUAGAACGUCGGAUUGUGGAUCCGAAGGUCGGGGGUUCGAAUCCCCUCAUCCACCCCA